CCUACGGGAGGCAGCAGUGGGGAAUAUUGGACAAUGGGGGCAACCCUGAUCCAGCCAUGCCGCGUGUGUGAAGAAGGCCCUCGGGUUGUAAAGCACUUUCAGUGAGGAAGAACGCCUGGUGGUUAAUACCCAUCAGGAAAGACAUCACUCACAGAAGAAGCACCGGCUAACUCCGUGCCAGCAGCCGCGGUAAUACGGAGGGUGCGAGCGUUAAUCGGAAUUACUGGGCGUAAAGCGCGCGUAGGUGGCUUGAUAAGCCGGUUGUGAAAGCCCCGGGCUCAACCUGGGAACGGCAUCCGGAACUGUCAAGCUAGAGUGCAGGAGAGGAAGGUAGAAUUCCCGGUGUAGCGGUGAAAUGCGUAGAGAUCGGGAGGAAUACCAGUGGCGAAGGCGGCCUUCUGGACUGACACUGACACUGAGGUGCGAAAGCGUGGGUAGCAAUCAGGAUUAGAUACCCCGGUAGUC
Molecule: ribosomal RNA, 465 nt
Filed under: Vreelandella stevensii
Lineage: Bacteria; Pseudomonadati; Pseudomonadota; Gammaproteobacteria; Oceanospirillales; Halomonadaceae
Description: partial 16S ribosomal RNA
Rfam family: Bacterial small subunit ribosomal RNA
Source: RNAcentral